RNAcentral lists this ribosomal RNA (566 nucleotides) under uncultured bacterium. RNAcentral describes it as "partial 16S ribosomal RNA". It matches the Rfam family "Bacterial small subunit ribosomal RNA", at positions 355 to 912 of the family's 1533-position model. The record is from RNAcentral.
UGGGGAAUUUUGGACAAUGGGCGAAAGCCUGAUCCAGCAAUGCCGCGUGUGUGAAGAAGGCCUUCGGGUUGUAAAGCACUUUUGUCCGGAAAGAAAUCCUUGGCUCUAAUACAGUCGGGGGAUGACGGUACCGGAAGAAUAAGCACCGGCUAACUACGUGCCAGCAGCCGCGGUAAUACGUAGGGUGCAAGCGUUAAUCGGAAUUACUGGGCGUAAAGCGUGCGCAGGCGGUUUGCUAAGACCGAUGUGAAAUCCCCGGGCUCAACCUGGGAACUGCAUUGGUGACUGGCAGGCUAGAGUAUGGCAGAGGGGGGUUAGAAUUCCACGUGUAGCAGUGAAAUGCGUAGAGAUGUGGAGGAAUACCGAUGGCGAAGGCAGCCCCCUGGGCCAAUACUGACGCUCAUGCACGAAAGCGUGGGGAGCAAAGCAGGAUUAGAUACCCUGGUAGUCCACGCCCUAAACGAUGUCAACUAGUUGUUGGGGAUUCAUUUCUUAGUAACGUAGCUAACGCGUGAAGUUGACCGCCUGGGGAGUACGGUCGCAAGAUUAAAACUUCAAAUGAAUUG